CAAGACUGGUCCUAACUGCCUAAACUGCAUUUCUCCAACACCAGUCCCUAACUCAUCCCUACUUCUUCCCUAACUGCUUCAAACUCAGACUCUAACUGCUCUUUAACUGUCAUCCAUUCUCUUAUAUAUCCCUAGUCCCGCCUUUUCUGUACAGCCAUUGGCUCCUGAAUCAGGGUUCCAUUGUGAUGGACAGGAGUGGUUACUGACCUGUCUGUCACAUCAAGGAUAGUGAUAAUUGAGGUUGUCCAUCACACUGUUUGCUUUUUCGGUGAAAACACCUUCCCUGUCAAAAGGUUUGAUUUUAUCCAUGGAUGUGAUCUGAGUAUCAGGAUCUAGGGAUGUACCAAAGAUGAUGAAAUAGGAUUAACUGAGGAGGAAAACUCAAAGAAAAAGUGACAUUCAACAUGAAGUACUAGCUAUUCUUUCGAUUCUUGAAAGCACAGUUAAUCUUAAUUGUCCUGUGCCUGAAGUCUAAUACUGAAAGGGACAGUGCUGACCCUGGUGAACCCUCUCCUCUGCAAAAGCAGCUUACAAGUUCCCUUUUUGGCACUGCAGUUGGAGAAAUAUGGCAGAAUCAUGGAGCCAGUUGACAUGGGAGUUAAGAAUCCUUUACGAAAUUAGAAAAAGGAUUAUUGCAGAGCAAGAAAACUGAAUUACACCAGUGAAGGUUAUUUACACAUCUUGCCUUUGAAAACAUGGCAACCCUCGUGAAUCACAUCCAAGAAAACACCACCCUGAUAAUAAACUCCCUUUGACUAUGAGAAAAAAAUAGUUAACACUACAUUCUUUCUUCAUAUGUUACUUUUCUCUCAGCGAUGGGGCAAAUGUAUUUUUAUUCUCUCCAAGUACACAUCAGAUGUGCUUCAAAAGCCCCAGAGAAUCUUUCUAAAUCAGAGGUGGAAUCAUGAUUCUCAGCAACCCAAAUUCUUUAUAACAAGUCCCUGAGAAUAAGGUCAAAAGUAUAAAGUAUGGGAAAAAAUGACAGACUCCUAUAAGUUGCUCUUUCUAAUAGCUAAUUUAGCUGGUGAGUGCUGACAGGAUGAUAGCUGAACAUGGCUACUGAUAGACAAGAGGACGGAAUCAUCCGCAGACUGAUGGGAAUCCAAGGUUUGCUGAAGUUUAACAUCCAAAAAAGAGGGAGGGGACAAUCUCCACAUGUAAAGCAACCUAAUGAAGAUGGAGCAUGCUCAGUAGCUGCAGGCUGUGGAAUGACAGAGAGAAAGAAAAUGAAACAUGGAAAAGCCAGUGUGGAGUUGGGGAUAGUGAGUGCAAAUGUCUUGUUUAAAUGGAAUUAAUGGCUGAAACAAGAAUACUCAUUUUAGGAAAAAGGCUGUAGUGCAUUUCAAUAGUUUGUUACCUGUCACACUCCUAUUACACUAACAUCUGUCUCAGUUAUCUGAAGUCAGCUUGUAACAAUAUGAAGGCACUGAAUAUCUGGUGUCAUAGGUGAAAAUGUCAAUAGUUGUUUAUCUGCA
Molecule: non-coding RNA, 1475 nt
Organism: Pogona vitticeps (central bearded dragon)
Lineage: Eukaryota; Metazoa; Chordata; Lepidosauria; Squamata; Agamidae
Source: RefSeq, a predicted model, not a curated record